Molecule: long non-coding RNA, 2159 nt
Filed under: Marmota monax (woodchuck)
Lineage: Eukaryota; Metazoa; Chordata; Mammalia; Rodentia; Sciuridae
Source: RNAcentral
AGCAUGUAAUAAGUCAAUCCCCUCAGAAGAGGUUCAGGGAAACCAUCAAAGGAUUUCACAAGACAAAGUUGCCAAAAGAAUGAUCCAAAUAAUAACUGCUUCAGGAGCUUCAGGGAAAGGAACCAGAUUUGAGGCUGCUGAGAGAGAGGGAUGGCAGCUGAGCCUGGGGGACGGUGCGAGACAAGGCAGAAAUGGGGGGGGGAGGGAACAGAAUAGGUUGGGGGUUUGGAGGUUCUGGAAACAUCUGUGUCAUAUGAAUUGUUUACAAAGCACUUCAAACCUGUUUCUCCUUUUAAUCUUGACUUUCACAAAUAUCUGUGGGAGGGACUAUUUUCCCAUUCAAGGCUCAGAGUUAGCUGUGACUUGCCCACAAUCUGCUACAAAAUGGCAGGGCCCGGGCUUGAGCUGGGGCUGAGUGGGUGGAAGAGCCACAAUGCACAUUAAAGCACCUGGGCUGGGAGGCAGCCAUUCUUCAAGACUGAAACUGUGGCCUGAAAACAGGUGAUCCCAGCUUGGUGAUCCCAGCUCUGCCCAGAGCAUGUGAAAAAGGCGGAGCUGCUUCUGAGCCUCAGUCUCCCUGCUUGCUCUCCUCUCAGGGUGGUGGUGAACUUUAAAAUUCUGUGAAAGUGAUCUCAACUCCAGAGCAGUGGGCACAGGGAGAGCUGUUGCCACGGCAGCCCUCUGCAUACCUGCCCAAACUCAGGUCAGCUCCCUACGGAAGGGGUGGGAGGGCUUCCAUCAGACCUGGGAUAUGUAGAUAAUCAUCCCUCUGCAUCCUCUUCCCUCAUGGACCCUGGGGCAGCUGGGGAAGGACCCUGGAUAAGUCGGUUCCCAUGCAGCCUGAAUGUGGUGACCAAGAGAGCGGUGGUCCUGUGACAGCCAACCUCCUCCAGGGAACCCGUUUUACAUAAUAUCAAGUGGGAAGAUAAGAUGCGGAUUCCUCCACUGGGAAACACUGAUGGCGUUUGUUGAGUCUCAGAGACGUGGAGGCUAAGGUCACCUCAGUGUACUCAGGACUUAGGGAAGGAGUGGGGUAUGAGGAAUCUUUCACCAAAUACCACGGAAAGCAUCUACUCAAUGCCAUUAGUUUGUAUAUGGGGAAACUGAGGCUCAUAAAGAAAAAGUGACAAGUCCAAUCAGUCCUUAUCAGAAGUGAAUACACCUCUCCUGGAUCCAGAUUUAGUGUGAGUGUUCAAAGGGCACUGGACACCUGGGCACACUGCACACGCUUGUAAUCCAGCUACUCAUGAGGCUGAGGCAGGAGGAUGGCAAGUUUGAGGCCAGCGUGGGCAACUUAGUCUCAAAAAUAAAAAGAGCUGGGGAUGUGCGCAGCGGUAAAGGAGGAAGGGAAGGGCGGGGGAAACCGAGGCGCCAACGGCGGCAGGGGUGCUCGCGGCCAGGAUCUAGAUCUUCCUCCAACUCCUUGUGGCUCUGGACAAAAUGACUUCCUUUCUCUGGUACUUCGUUUCCUUGUCUGCCAAGCUGGCUGGGGCUGGGACCUCCAGGGGCCCUUCCGUCUCUGGUACCGUCACUCUAGUCGACAAGUCAUGGGCUUUUCCUAGGACGACACGGUGACGACGUGAAAGGCAAGGUCUCCGAGUGUGUGGUCCACUGAACUCGGCCGGAGGUAACUCCGGACCAGGGAUGCUUCCGUUGCCAUGGCAACCGCCAGGGCCGGCGUGGUCCCCAGCGUGCCGCGGAGGAAGCCGGGAGGACCUGCCCUCCGGUGAUGGCGGCGUCCGCGCGAGGGACGGGGCCCGGCGCUGUCGGCCGGUGAAGGCGUCUCCGUUGUUUCCGCUUUUCCAUACAAAGGCGAGCUCCCUCCAGCGCUUUUCUCUGCCCCGGUCCUGAGAGCCGGGGAGCGGGAAGCGAAGGGCGGACGGCAGCCACCGGGGCACGUACCCGGGGGAAGGCGGGACUUCCGCGUCUCGCCGGAAGUGACGCGACAGUUGCGGCCGCCGCCAGGUGGAACGACAGGUGGGUUCAGGUGCCAGCCCGGCCCCGACCCUACUGUGGGACCGAGUCUCCCGUGAGCGACAGAGGCAGCUCCCAAGGGCCUGGAGACCCGUGGGGCUGGCUCUGGGAUCCGAGCCCGCCGCCCUGGCCUGGAGUCCGUCCCUGUACCUAGUAAGAGCCGCCGCCCACCCCGCACGCCGCGC